This 454-nucleotide ribosomal RNA is filed under the name uncultured bacterium. RNAcentral's name for it is "partial 16S ribosomal RNA". It matches the Rfam family "Bacterial small subunit ribosomal RNA", at positions 341 to 792 of the family's 1533-position model. The record is from RNAcentral.
ACGGGAGGCAGCAGUGAGGAAUAUUGGACAAUGGGCGGAAGCCUGAUCUAGCCAUGCCGCGUGCAGGACUAAGGCCCUAUGGGUCGUAAACUGCUUUUGUUGUGGAGCAAUAAGGUCUACGUGUAGACUGAUGAGAGUACACAGCGAAUAAGCAUCGGCUAACUCCGUGCCAGCAGCCGCGGUAAUACGGAGGAUGCAAGCGUUAUCCGGAUUUAUUGGGUUUAAAGGGUGCGUAGGCGGCUUGUCAAGUCAGAGGUGAAAGCCCGGAGCCCAACUCCGGAACUGCCUUUGAUACUGUCAGGCUUGAAUUCGGAUGCCGUGGGAGGAAUGAGUAGUGUAGCGGUGAAAUGCAUAGAUAUUACUCAGAACACCGAUUGCGAAGGCAUCUCACGAAUCCGACAUUGACGCUGAGGCACGAAAGCGUGGGGAUCAAACAGGAUUAGAUACCCUGGUA